Molecule: ribosomal RNA, 467 nt
Filed under: uncultured bacterium
Lineage: Bacteria
Description: partial 16S ribosomal RNA
Rfam family: Bacterial small subunit ribosomal RNA
Source: RNAcentral
GAUGAAUGCUGGCGGCGUGCCUAACACAUGCAAGUCGAGCGGCAGCGCGAGUAGUUUACUACUUGGCGGCGAGCGGCGGACGGCUGAGUAACGCGUGGGAACAUACCCCAAAGUGAGGGAUAACCGCCCGAAAGGGUGGCUAAUACCGCAUAUGAUCUUCGGAUUAAAGGAUUUAUCCGCUUUGGGAAUGGCCUGCGUACGAUUAGAUAGUUGGUGAGGUAAUGGCUCACCAAGUCGACGAUCGUUAGCUGGUCUGAGAGGAUGAUCAGCCAGACUGGAACUGAGACACGGUCCAGACUCCUACGGGAGGCAGCAGUGAGGAAUCUUCCACAAUGGGCGAAAGCCUGAUGGAGCAACGCCGCGUGCAGGAUGAAGGCCUUCGGGUCGUAAACUGCUUUUAUGAGUGAAGAAUAUGACGGUAACUCAUGAAUAAGCACCGGCUAACUACGUGCCAGCCGCCGCGGUAA